UGGGGAAUUUUCCGCAAUGGGGGGAACCCUGACGGAGCAACGCCGCGUGCGGGAGGACGGCCUGUGGGUUGUAAACCGCUUUUCUCUGGGAAGAAGCUCUGACGGUACCAGAGGAAUCAGCAUCGGCUAACUCCGUGCCAGCAGCCGCGGUAAUACGGAGGAUGCAAGCGUUAUCCGGAAUUAUUGGGCGUAAAGCGUCCGCAGGUGGCUCCUCAAGUCUGCUGUCAAAGAGCGAAGCUCAACUUCGCAAAGGCAGUGGAAACUGAAGAGCUAGAGUAUGGUAGGGGUAGAGGGAAUUCCCAGUGUAGCGGUGAAAUGCGUAGAGAUUGGGAAGAACAUCGGUGGCGAAAGCGCUCUACUGGGCCAUAACUGACACUCAGGGACGAAAGCUAAGGUAGCGAAAGGGAUUAGAUACCCCCGUAGUCC
This 426-nucleotide ribosomal RNA is filed under the name uncultured prokaryote. Its description in RNAcentral is "bacterial SSU rRNA". It matches the Rfam family "Bacterial small subunit ribosomal RNA", at positions 355 to 796 of the family's 1533-position model. The record is from RNAcentral.